Molecule: small RNA, 118 nt
Filed under: Marmota monax (woodchuck)
Lineage: Eukaryota; Metazoa; Chordata; Mammalia; Rodentia; Sciuridae
Source: RNAcentral
GCCAGGCUUGGUGACUGCAUCCCUGAUAUCCCAGCUAUUUGGAAGGAUGAGGCGGGAGGAUUGCUUGAGCCCAGGAGUUUGAGGCCUGCUUGGGCAACAUAGUGAGAUCCUGUUUCAA